CAGCAACCAUGCGACUUUGAUUUUGUGUAGAUCCGGUUCAAUUAAAGACACAGACAGACACCUGAUGGACGGCCAUGCACAUAUUGGACCGGACGAAUAACUGAAGAGCUGAACAACUCACGACCUGGAGGAUCACAUGCACAACAUGCGCACUUCGCUGACCUCCUGCUGUGCGUGUCCAGACCAGAUGAAGACACUGACAUCAUCUACUGCAGAUUGACACCAGCAGGUGCACCAGACUUUCACAGUCUGAAGACUCCCUCUCAUCACAUUCACGACCACGUCACGUUCUUGUGCCUCUAAAUUUAAUUUCUGUUCCCUCUUGACUCAGAGGAGUCACACGGGUUAAUAACUGAGGUGAGGCUUGUUACCUAAUGCAGUCUUUGGAGGGUCGGGUCCACGAAGCAAACAUUUUCAGACAAAGAAAAAGAAUAUUCAUAUUCCAAGGGUUUGUCCCACAUUUUGAACAGCAAAUUGUGUAAGUCUCACCUCAUUUGUCCGAUUUCGUCUUUGGCGUCUGCUACUUCCUGGUUAGUGGGCCCAUUAGUUUAGGCUACCAAACUCUCAAAAUGCUGAAUAAAACAAUAAUAUAGAGUAGUGAAGUAUGGUUGUGGUUAAGUAUACUGACAGGGGAAGAAGUUACUGAGGAAAGACGUGUUCAUGUUGGCAGUGUGUGAUAUUUGGGGCUGCUGAAUCCAAAGAUGGAUUAUCAAUGGUUGCAUUAUCGUAGCAUUUAUAGCUUUGCUGGGCGAGUUACCUUGGAGCUGCAAGCACUACUUAUUUUGUUAACUCGAUUCACGUUUUUCUAGAAAAUGCCAGAAAAUUGUCUCAGAACCCAAGGUGUUAGCUUAACGUUAUUGGUUUUGUCGAGCCAACAGUCGAGAACACAAAGAUGUUUCACAACGAUCAAAUGUAUCAAAUCUGUUGAGAGUUUGGAACCAACAUUUAUUUUUUAAAUGUUUGCGUCUGAAUGUGAUUGAGCAAAAAUAUUACCAAAAUGUUACACUUAUUAUUUCAGGCCUGGACAGGUGUUUAUUACCUUUGCCUAAAUUCCUACUUCCACGCAUCUAAUUUGGAAACUUAUCUUUCCCCCUAUCAUUUUUGUAGUGCAUGAUCUUUUCCUAGACAUAACCAAGUGUGAUUUUUGCCUGAACAUAAGGACAUUUGUGGCAGGAAGGGAAAGUUCUCCCUUUUGCGUUUGCAUUUUAUUUUGGUUAGGUUUUUCCAGAUGUUGUAAUUAAAGUCCAGCCUGUGAA
Molecule: long non-coding RNA, 1256 nt
Organism: Gasterosteus aculeatus aculeatus (three-spined stickleback)
Lineage: Eukaryota; Metazoa; Chordata; Actinopteri; Perciformes; Gasterosteidae
Source: RefSeq, a predicted model, not a curated record